UUUAUGCCCAGCGUGCUGUGCUGUGCUGUGUGUGCCUGCAGGUCAUAUUUAUCUGCCUGUCAGGACUGUCGGAGCACUGGAUGGAGAGCAGGUCAUAUGAAGAGGAUUAGGGAGUAAAAGGCAGCUUGUACUGAAGUGCAGGGAAAGUAUAAAUAUUGAUAUAUAUUGGCACAGUGCCUGGCCUUAAUGCUUAAAAUCCUUUGGAGAGCUGUCUGCAUAUUUACUGUAUUAAUGAUCAAAUGCAAGGCUGUGUUGGGAAAGGUCUUCCAUUUGGAAGUCAGUAGUUGAGACUGUCUUGCCUAUGAAAAAGAGGGAGAAUUUUUGUUAGAGGAUGUAGGAUUCUGGCUGGUAAUAGUCUUAAUUCAAGGUAUUUUUAGAGAAUUGAUUUAAUACAAGCAGAACAAAUGGCCAGAAGUGUAAUGAGAGACAAGUUGAAAUUAGAAAGUAGAUGUGCAUUUUGAAUGUAUUGUCAUAGCAACUGAUUCAAUUCUCCCUCUCUUGCUGUUCUGGGGACCUUUUAAAUGUGCUUUGGCUAAAUAAAAAGUAUUAGACUAUUUCAGAGCCAAAAGGUCAGUUCUUGUUGUCUCUUUUGCACUUUAAUUCUAGUACACUGAUACUUGCUAACCACUUAUAACCCUAGAUGCAGAAUGAGAACUUGGGUUAUUAACAAUAAAGAAGUAAACAGCAGAAAGACUUGACCUUUCUUUUGAAUUGCCCUGUGGUGUUAAAAAAUACCAAACAAACCUCCUUCCCCAAAGAAACACCCCCAAAAUACCCCAAGAACUCACCAAACAGAAAAUCACCGACAACCAAAAAGCAGAAGUAACAAACAUGAACAGCAAGUGGAGGAAGAGUUUGAAAGCGGGCUGGACAGAACCAGAAGUGUUACUGCCCACUCUUAGGCCACUGUGCUGAUUAAAUGGGUGUUGUUAGGUUUAGAUCAGUAGUUCGUUGUUGUUGGGUUUUUCGGUGGUGUUGAUUUUUUUGUUGUCGUUGUGGGGGAUUGUUUGUUUGUUUGUUUUAUUUUGUUUUUUUUCUGUAUUAAAAAUCUGGCUCAGUUACUCUCUAGUUCUGGUGUGUUUUCUUUUCCAGGUGGUUGGUGUUUCUGCAGUGUUUGGCACAGGACUGGGGGAGAUUUUUACCCAGCUUUCUAAAGCUGUAGAUGAAUAGGAGAGACUGAAUGCACUCCCUUUAUUCACCUUUUCAGAGAGUAUCGUCCAGAAUACGAGCGCCUGAGAAAAACACUGGACAGUUCUCUGCAGGCACAGCUACACAGAGUUUGGCUUCCCGGCGCUGCUGAAAACAUCCUAGAAUCCCACCUGACUGGAGGUUGCUUUCCACGCUUAGUCAGAAGUUCUGUGAAACCUUAGUUGAAAUGUAAGACCUGCAUAGUGACUUCUGCUCUCUGACUGGGGGACAGGCUGCUGGGUUUGGGUGAGGUUUCUCUUCUCCUAAUGUUUUAAAUGUUCUCAGAAUCCACAGGUAAAUCUUUGUCUACGGGAGAAAGCUCAAAAUAAACAAAAGAGAGAGCAGCUGGAACACUUGUGGAAGGACAUGGGCAGCGUGUGUGUGCAGGGCAGCACAGUGGCAGGACCUGAUGCUUCUGCAAUGGGUCCCUCUGAGCUAAUACUAACACAAGGAACUCUCGAUGAAGAGCAAGAAGAGAGGGAGAGUGACGCUGAUGGCAUUGACCAUGAAGGUAAGGGAAUGAGGUCUAAAAGCUGCCUCUCAAGAAAUCCCCUCUAUAUUUCAUGUCCUGGAUGGACUGUAAGGAGAGCCUAGAAAACAAGCAAACAUUCAGUCACCUGACGUGUCAGAAUCUGUAGCAGAAGCUCAGCUGCAAUGGUCAGUGCAGGGAUAUCACUCUGUAACCUUUGUGAAAGUUCAAUUGUAAAUUUUCUAUUCAAGUAAUUAAUAGGUGUAUAAUACACAUAGACCAGAGAACUCGUUAGGCUUGGGGCAUGCAGUGACCUCUGAACCUGAUUGAUGCACAGAUGUGUCCAUCAUCUUUUUGGCCUUACAGUUUCUGCCCCUGGCACUCUUCCCUUUUCCUGUGACUGUGGUCUUGGAGCAAUCUUCUAAGUUGUUACAGUGUGAUUUUUCUCUUCUAUAGCUCACAGACUUAAUCUUCAUUCUUUCCCUGUUCCACUGAUGGGUAGGAUCACUUAUUUCCUUUGCCCUGUAAUGUAGCUGAAGAUGGAAUAGACUUUCUGUGUUGCUUUGGCUA
Pipra filicauda (Wire-tailed manakin) is the source of this 2227-nucleotide long non-coding RNA. RefSeq lists it as uncharacterized. The record is from RefSeq and is a predicted model, not a curated record. Lineage: Eukaryota; Metazoa; Chordata; Aves; Passeriformes; Pipridae. The transcript has 5 exons.